AUUGAACGCUGGCGGCAGGCUUAACACAUGCAAGUCGAACGAGUGGCGGACGGGUGAGUUAUGCUUGGGUCUCUCGGUUAUGGAGGGGGAUAUCUACGAGACAGUGUCUCUAAUCCCGCGUUCCCUAGUAUGCCCCCAAGUGGGAUGAGGUAGUUGGUGGUGUAAAGGCACACCUAGCCGACGAUCUCUAGCUGGUCUGAGAGGAUGAACAGCCACACUGGGACUGAGACACGGUCCAGACUCCGACGGGAGGCAGCAGUGGGGAAUAUUGCGCAAUGGGGGCAACCUGAAGCAGCCAUGCCGCGUGAAUGAAGAAGGCCUUAGGGUUGUAAAGUUCUUUCGGUAGCGAGGCGUUAACUACAGAAGAAGCACCGGCUAACUCCGUGCCAGCAGCCGCGGUAAUUC
Molecule: ribosomal RNA, 405 nt
Filed under: uncultured bacterium
Lineage: Bacteria
Description: partial 16S ribosomal RNA
Rfam family: Bacterial small subunit ribosomal RNA
Source: RNAcentral